CAGGCCCGCAAUUAUUAAACUCAAGAGUUUUACCUUAUAUACAUCAGCUCUGAAUUUUAGCAUACGAUCUUUAGGGUUCGUUUGAAUUAUUGGUGGCUUGAAUUGUUUGGGUUUGUAUAUUCUUACUGUUAUGAAUCUUAUGUUCUGAUUAUUAGGUUUUUCUAUUUGCUUUCGUUCGUUUGCAGCAAUCGUCACAAGGAUUACUCAAGAAGUCCAAACCGAGAAGAAGAAAAAAAAACGUCCUUGAUUUUCCAAAAUUGUUUAGGCUAAAAUUCAAAAAAAAAAAAAAAAAAAAAAAAAAAGGUCUGAUCCGUUUAUAUAUUGAUAUCUAACCCCGGCUCUUGAAAUCAGGUUUUGCGAUUUAAUUCAGAGUCAUUGCUAUUCAAAUUGAAUCCUGUCCAUGGAAGUUUUUAGUGACGAUCUAUUUUAUGAGGCUAAAUUAAGGGGAGGACGAAACAAAAAUGUUCCGUAAACCGAGUUUGUGGUUCAAUGGCUAUCUCUGCAGCUUGCUUUUACUAAUUUAACCCAUGUCGGGAGUCUUGCUUUAUUGGAGACCGACAACAAUUCUCCACAGAAUUCUCAAAGGGUUUGCUGAUGGAACAUAACAAUGUUUCAGAACUGGGAGAUUUUUGGAAGGAGAGAUUAAAGAUGAGGAAUAGCAGAAGCUACUCAAGUUUCAAUUCGAGAUUUUUUAUUAAUGGGGUUGUCAAUCAUCUCAUCAGGACCAACUCCCCUUCAACCUCUGACAUCAUUAAAUCAAAUUGGUUGUUAGCUACAAACAAUGAAUCAGCAACAAUCGACGGAGCAGAAGCAAGCAGGCUCACCACCAAUUUCUUUCCCGACAUGAGAUUUUGAUGCAGUUUGGCUAUUGUUUGAUUGGGUUCUGAAAUUGCAAGGGCAUCAGCAACAUCAAACUGAAGUUGUUAAUCUCAGUUACGUUUAAUUGUCGCUUCAGAUUUAAGGUAGAUAAUUCCGUUAUAUUACUUUUGAAAUUGUACCUUCAGAUAUUUUGGAUGCAGUUUGGCUAUUGUUUUGAUUGGAGGGCAUCAGCAACAGUUUGUUGGGGUUUUAAUCUAUAUAUAUAUAUAUAUACACUACAAACAUCCAUCCCAAAAAGCGAAAAUAGUGUUAGAAAGGGUCUCAAACUGAAUUUGUCAAUAGAAUCAUAUUAUUUUAGAAGUAAAUUUAUUUGUUGGGUCAAAAAAAAUUGAUCUUCUAAGUGUUUCAUUUUAUUGGUUAGGAUUUUGCUCCCAUCCUUGAUUAUCCAGGUAUCUCCUUAGCUUUUGUCACCAUUAAAAUCACAAUAACUCACUAAGGCUUCAGUGCUGUAUACUUUCACUUUGGAUGGCUUAUCCAUCGUAAUCAGGCACAUGUGUAUUUUAUUGAUAUGCAUUCCAGUGAUCAACUACCAGCUUUUGAUAUUAGUAGAGCUUCUGACUUGCACUGGAUGCAGUAGGAUGCGUCCCUGUGCUAUCAAUAGGAGAAAGUGGAGCUUAAGUGCUGCCAUAGGUGCUAAGGGUCAACCGAAUUUGAUGAUUAUUUGCCUCUAAUUAGCUCAUUAAAGAAGAUCGGAAACUUGGUGGAAUUCAGUUUGGCCAGGAAAUUAAACUCAACAUAAAGCAGGUAGAUCCAUGACGAUCGGUUGUAUUCAGAAAUAGGCUUUACUUGUACAUGUGAUUUUCAAGUCUCCUAUCAUAUACGAAAUCCCACGAGCUACAAAGGUAUGUAUGGCUUAGUACACUGGAAAUCCAAUGAAGUAUAUUCUUUUGAACUGCUGCAAUGCAGUUUUAAAAUGCGACUAAAUCCCAAAUCCCAAAAUCCCAUGCGCCAAAGGUGCACAAGCGGUUCAGCGUUUACUGGGAAUAUGCCGCGGUUCUGGAUAAAGCUAAUCCUAACCUAGCCACUAAUCGUAACCUUGCCCUGGGUGCAGUAGUAUGCAUUCCUGUGCUAGCAAUAGGAGAAGGUGGAGCUUAAGUGGUGGAGCAGUUAUAUUUGUAUUUAAGUAAACGUUUUUAUGAAUUUAACAAUUCCAGACUUUAGUAAACGUUUUUAUGAAUUUAACAAUUCCAGACUACGUGAUAAUGUUUCCUGUGGAUUUUUACUGCUUGGUGUGAACAUCCGAUGGUGAUGUUUGGAAAUGUUAUUGAUCAAACUGUAAGUGUAAUUUUAAUUUAUUUUGUAAACAAACAGUAAGUGUAAUUAACAGUUCAUAAGAGAUGUUCUGUAAAUACCUGAAAA
Molecule: long non-coding RNA, 2238 nt
Organism: Papaver somniferum (opium poppy)
Lineage: Eukaryota; Viridiplantae; Streptophyta; Magnoliopsida; Ranunculales; Papaveraceae
Exons: 5
Source: RefSeq, a predicted model, not a curated record